RNAcentral lists this small RNA (562 nucleotides) under bovine gut metagenome. The record is from RNAcentral.
AGUAAUUGAUGGCACAUUAUUCUAGUCAAUUACUUUAUUAGGAAGACGAGCUUAAAAAUUCGUUAUAGGGCAUAUUUGUGAAACCUUUGGUUUCUGCUUCUUACGCCCAGUUUGGGGUGGAUGCUGAAGAUGAAGAAUAUUGGGCGACUCAUAAUGGCAUAUGAAUUACGACCCAGUAUUCGUGGAGAACUAUGUAUUUUUAUAAUACUAUAGAAAGACCUAUAUUUGAUGAAAGUUAGAUAUAGUGUAGCCUGUCUUGAGUGAAAAUAUUGGGAUAGAUGAUCAAGUUUAUAUGAACAGGCCGCUCAUAUAAAUGUGCGUUUUGAAAUUAUUUUUGCAAAAAAGGAUUAAUAAUAAAGUGUUGGUGAGGAAAUCUUCUAGGGUGUAAUUCAAAAUAGGAUUGCAGUGGACACUAAGUGGUAAUCAAGUCGUAUGAAUAGGUAACAUCAUAUUAAUUCUUAUAAUGGGGAACCACAUUUCUGGUAACGGGAAUGUAAGAAUUAGGGAAAUCCUACUUGACCUAAGGUUCAAAGUUUACUAUUUUGAAAGCCAAACAAUUAAU